Apteryx owenii (little spotted kiwi) is the source of this 1610-nucleotide long non-coding RNA. NCBI's taxonomy places the organism in Eukaryota, Metazoa, Chordata, Aves, Apterygiformes, Apterygidae. The record is from Ensembl.
GCGGCCUCCCCUCGGGCCUGUCCCCGGCCCCAUUGCCUCCCCUCGGGCCCUGUCACCUUCCCUCGGGCCCUGUCACCUCCCCUCGGGCCUGUCACCUCCUCUCAGGCCUGUCCCCGGCCCCAUCGCCUCCCCUCCGGCCUUGUCACCUUCCCUUGGGCCCUGUCACCUCCCCUCAGGUCCUGUCACCUCCCCUCGGGCCUGUCCCCGGCCCCAUCGCCUCCCCUCAGGCCCUGUCACCUUCCCUUGGGCCCUGUCACCUCCCCUCGGGCCUGUUACCUCCCCUCAGGCCUGUCACCUCCCCUCGGGCCUGUCCCUGGCCCCAUCGCCUCCCCUCAGGCCCUGUCACCUUCCCUCAGGCCCUGUUACCUCCCCUCAGGCCUGUCACCGGCCCCAUCACCUCCCCUCGGGCCUGUCCCCAGCCCCAUGUCCCAGCCCCAUCGCCCGGCAGGGCAGUGGUGCCGCCCUUUCCCUGCGGUCCCCCUCGGUCCCCUUCCCACCCCUGGCCGAGGUCCCUUCCUCACGGAACCGUCCUGGCGGAUAUGGAGACGGGCCCUUGUCUGCAAACACCUGGCUUUUAUGCAAAUCAUUUUGCAAUAAGGGCAGAUUUGCCCCAACAAGCGUGCUCAUUAGGUAAAUUCAUUCAUCUCCUUCCUGGUUUCCUUUAACGACAGCCUUUACUCUCGAUUUUGUUAUCUGCUGGCUGCUGCGCGUCGGCCUGACUGACUCGGGAUUGCGAAGUGGAGCAAGAGACACGGAGAGGAUACAAAGGCUCCUCUGCCUAGAGAAAGUGACUGAAACAGCUGCCCUACAAUUCCUCCUCCUCUACAGCUUCUUGUGAGAAAGGCUCAUAUGGCUUCUCAGUUCCAAAGACCUCCGCAUGAUACAGCCACUUCUGCGGAGAAGCUGGCUUUUAACUUUCGGCCAGCCCUGAUGGACAUGGCUCACGGGGAACGUACGCCGGCAGUCCACCUGCAAACACCCCACGGCGGAGAUGGCCUCAAGCGCUCCGACGCAGGUGCCCCCAGGGACCCUGCCCCACGCUCCUCCCGGGAGAGUUCAGCCAAGCGAGCUGUCCUGUUGCACACCCCCGGGUGAGCUCGCCUUUUAUGAAGGUCAGAGCAGUGUCUCAGGGCUCACCCUGACUUCAGAGUCGGUCCUGGGCUCGUGCUAUUUGCGGAUGAGUACUGCAGCCCCGCAUCAGGCAAGCCCAGGAGAAACCAUGCUUCCACAAGAGACGUGGCCCUGGAGCCAUGUCCUAGAAGUGUCCACGGUGCCAGCAGGCUGCUCGUCAGCCGACCUGUCUCAGCAUGCAAAGCGUGCAUCUCCCUGCGAGCCACGCUCCUCUCUGCCCCUCGCAUCCCACAUCGCCACUCUCCUGUGCUGCAGGAGAUGUUCCUGGUGUUCUGACAUUUUAUAUUUAUGUGUUAAACUCUACUCCUGUUUUUUCCACCUCUUCUUUCUUCUGCCUCCCUCAGCAGCUAGCGGUUAAAAGUUUGUCCAUUUGUUGAUCUUUUCCUGCAUUUUGUGGAAAAUUCCCUUUGUACAUUACUAGCUCUUUUAUUGACAAAACUAUGUUUUCAAGAAAAAUAAAAGACCUCUUACUUUUGCCA